Molecule: long non-coding RNA, 223 nt
Filed under: Trifolium pratense (red clover)
Lineage: Eukaryota; Viridiplantae; Streptophyta; Magnoliopsida; Fabales; Fabaceae
Description: long non-coding RNA (TPRA_LNC000725)
Source: RNAcentral
CUAGAACAUUGACCCGUGCGGUGCACGGGUCUGAUUAGCCGUAAGAUAUAUAAUGAUUAAAUAAGAUAUGAUAAUUUCAAUAAUGUAAGGUAUAUGAAAAAAGUUGAAUAACAUUAAACGAUAGUUCAACAAUAAUUUUGGAUAAAUAUUCAUACAAAGAAAAAUAUGUUAUAUUACGGAAGACUUCCUUAUAAACCACAUUCGAAGUCUUAGUUGUAUCUUC